GACGAACGCUGGCGGCGUGCUUAACACAUGCAAGUCGAACGGAAAGGCCCUGCGUUUGCGCGGUGCUCGAGUGGGGAGCGGGUGAGUAACACGUGAGUAACCCCCACUUGACUUUGGGGUAACUUCAGGAAACUGCGGCUAAUACCGGGGAGGAUCUCCUGCUGCGCGGGGGGGGUUGGAAAGAGUCGGCGGUUGGGGAUGGAAUCGCGGGUUAUCAGCUUGUUGGUGGGGUAGUGGAUUACCAAGGCUUUGAGGGGUAGCCGGCCUGAGAGGGUGACCGGCCACCAUGGGACUGAGAUACGGCGCAGACGGCUACGGGAGGCAGUGGUGGAGAGUAUUGCACAACGGGCGGAAGCGAGAGGCAGCAACGCCGCGUGCGGGAUGACGGCCUUCGGGUGGUAAACCGCUGUCGCCUGUGCCGAAGAGGGAGUGACGGUAACGGGUAAAGAAGCACCGGCUAACUACGUG
RNAcentral lists this ribosomal RNA (468 nucleotides) under uncultured bacterium. RNAcentral's name for it is "partial 16S ribosomal RNA". It matches the Rfam family "Bacterial small subunit ribosomal RNA", at positions 28 to 507 of the family's 1533-position model. The record is from RNAcentral.